AUUGAACGCUGGCGGCAUGCCUUACACAUGCAAGUCGAACGGCAGCGGGGGAGAAGCUUGCUUUUCCUGCCGGCGAGUGGCGAACGGGUGAGUAAUACAUCGGAACGUGCUCAGUCGUGGGGGAUAACUACUCGAAAGAGUAGCUAAUACCGCAUACGAUCUGAGGAUGAAAGCGGGGGACCUUCGGGCCUCGCGCGAUCGGAGCGGCCGAUGGCAGAUUAGGUAGUUGGUGGGAUAAAAGCUUACCAAGCCGACGAUAUGUAGCUGGUCUGAAAGGACGACCAGCCAGACUGGGAAUGAGAAACGGCCCAGACUCCUCCGGGAGGCAGCAGUGGGGAAUUUUGGAGAAUGGGCGAAAGCAUGAUCCAGCAAUGCCGCGUGCAGGAUGAGGGCCUUCGGGUUGUAAACUGCUUUUGUACGGAACGAAAAAGCUCCUUCGAAUACAGGGGGCCCAUGACGGUACCGUAAGAAUGAGCACCGGCUAACUACGUGCCAGCCGCCGCGGUAA
Molecule: ribosomal RNA, 508 nt
Filed under: uncultured bacterium
Lineage: Bacteria
Description: partial 16S ribosomal RNA
Rfam family: Bacterial small subunit ribosomal RNA
Source: RNAcentral